RNAcentral lists this ribosomal RNA (601 nucleotides) under uncultured bacterium. Its description in RNAcentral is "bacterial SSU rRNA". It matches the Rfam family "Bacterial small subunit ribosomal RNA", at positions 338 to 953 of the family's 1533-position model. The record is from RNAcentral.
CCUACGGGAGGCAGCAGUGGGGAAUAUUGGGCAAUGGAGGAAACUCUGACCCAGCGACGCCGCGUGCGGGAUGAAGGCCUUCGGGUUGUAAACCGCUUUCAGUAGGGAAGAAGCGAAAGUGACGGUACCUACAAAAGAAGCACCGGCUAACUAUGUGCCAGCAGCCGCGGUAAUACAUAGGGUGCAAGCGUUGUCCGGAAUUAUUGGGCGUAAAGAGCUCGUAGGUCGUUUGUUACGUCGGAUGUGAAAACCUGAGGCUCAACCUCAGGCCUGCAUUCGAUACGGGCAAACUAGAGUUUGGUAGGGGAGACUGGAAUUCCUGGUGUAGCGGUGGAAUGCGCAGAUAUCAGGAGGAACACCAAUGGCGAAGGCAGGUCUCUGGGCCAAUACUGACACUGAGGAGCGAAAGUCUGGGGAGCGAACAGGAUUAGAUACCCUGGUAGUCCAGACCGUAAACGGUGGGCACUAGUUGUGGGAACCUUCCACGGUUUCUGCGACGCAGCUAACGCAUUAAGUGCCCCGCCUGGGGAGUACGAUCGCAAGAUUAAAACUCAAAGGAAUUGACGGCUGAGACGUGCGACGACGACGACGAGGGAGUAGG